Melospiza melodia melodia is the source of this 8132-nucleotide long non-coding RNA. RefSeq lists it as uncharacterized. Lineage: Eukaryota; Metazoa; Chordata; Aves; Passeriformes; Passerellidae. The transcript is spliced from 4 exons. The record is from RefSeq and is a predicted model, not a curated record.
GCUAAUUAAUUAAUAACCAAUUUCAGAUAAAUAAUUAAUUAAUAUUUAUUUCAUACUUAAAUGAUGUCCCAUACGAAUUAAAAACUUUGGGAUUGGGGUGGGAAAACACCAAAAUUGGAUGGAAAAACAUCGGGAUGAGGGGGAAAACCCUAAAAUAAAACACAAAACACCAGGAUGGGGUGAAAAAAUAUAAAAACCAGACAGAAAAGCAGCAAAAUAAAGGAAAAAAACCAGAAUGAGGCGGAAUUUUGGGAUGAAGGAUUUGGACUUUGGGAUGAAGGAUUUGGAUUUUGGGAUGAAGGAUUUGGAUUUUGGGAUGAAGAAUUUGAAAUUAAGGUGUUGGAGCUUUUCCACCAUGGAGGCUCCAAGCUCUUCCCAAAUCACAAGGAGAAGAAGUCCAAGGUUCCGUGGCCGUAGGGGUUGGAAGUCCACACGAGGUCACUCCUCCUGGAAUUCGCCAACAUUUGGCAAAACUCAACAUUGGCUGCCGCCAAAAGUUCCUCGUCCACCAGUUCCUCAAAAUUCCAGGCGGAUUCCGGCGGCGGUGGCUCCGGCUUGCAGCAAUCCACGGGAAGGCAUAGACGACCAGGUGGAGGUCGCGCAGCUCCAAGAUUUUCUGGAGCAGAUCCUUGAGCGUGGCAGUGGACAUGGGAUUGCCAUAGACUCCCAGGAAACACAGGUGCGAGCAGUGGCGCAGCAGCGGCAGCAGCGCAUCCAGAUGGGAGUUGGCCAUGCAGCAUUCCAUGAGAUCCAGGUGCAGCAGUGAGGCUGAGGUUUCCUCCAGGAGCAGCCGCAGAGGCUCCAGGAGGCCCUGGGAGAAGUCAUGUCUGCUCAGGUCCAAGCGCUUGAGGGCCAGAGCUUGGAAGCUUUGGGAGAGGAAGGCGAGGUCGGCAGGAACGAGGGAGCAGAAGGCCAAUUCCAAGCUUUCCAAUGGAGCCUGGAGGUCGCUGGAGGGAGGGAAAAGGGAGAGGUGAAGAUUGGUUGGGAUUUGUGGGCAAUGAGAGCUGGGAUUGCAUCCAUCUCUGUCUUGGGAAAGAGCUCCCAAGACCAUCAAGGUCAAGGUUUGAGAAUGAUGGAAUUGUGAAGUCAAGUAGUGGAGUUACGGAAUGGCUGUGGUUGGGAAAGAUCUCCAAAAACAUUGAGUUUGACCUCUGAAAAUCCUGGGAUUUUGGAAUGAUGGGAUCAUGGGAUUGCGGGAUGGGUGAGGUUGGGAAAGAGCUCCAGGACCAUCAAGUCUGACCUCUAAAAAUCCUGGUGUUUUUGGAAUGAUGGGAUUGUGGGAUUGUGAGAUAGGUGAGGUUGGGAAAAGUCUUCAAGAACAUUGAGUUUGACCUCUGAAAAUCCUGGGAUUUUGGUAUGAUGGGAUCAUGGAGUUAUGGAAUUAUGGAUGCAUGAGAUUAUGGGCUCAUGGAGUAGCGGGGUCAUGGAAUCAUGGAAUUAUGGAAUGGCUGAGGUUGGGGAAAACCUCCAAGACUAUCAAGUUCAAGAAUUGAAAAUCAUGAAAUUAUGGAAUGUGGGAUCAUGAAGUUCUGGAAUCAUAAUUCAUGGAAUUGUGGAAUGUAGGAUCAUGGGACGCUGGGAUCCCAGAGUUCUGGAGUCAUGGAGAGACUUUUUGGCAGAGGAAGAGGAGGUCGGCGGGAACGAGGGAGCAGAAGGCCAAUUCCAAGCUUUCCAACGGAGCCUGCAGGUCACUGGAGGGAGGGAAAAGGGAGAGGUGAGGAUUGGUUGGGAUUCACAGGGAGAACGUGGGGAAAGAUCUCCAAGAACAUCAAGUUUGACCUCUGAAAAUCCUGGGAUUUUGGAGUGAUGGGAUCAUGGAGUUAUGGAAUGACUGAAGUUGGGAAAGAGCUCCAAGAACAUUGAGUGUGACCUCUGAAAAUCUUGGGAUUUUGGAGUAAUGGGGUCAUGGAAUCAGGGAAUUACUCAGGUCAGGAAAGAUCUCCAAGACCAUCAAGUUCAAGGUUUGAGAAUCAUGGAAUUAGGGGAUCACAGAGCCAUGGAAUUGUGGGAUGGGUGAGGUUGAGAAAGAACUCCUAGAACAUCGAGUUCAACCUCUGAAAAUCCUGGGAGUUUGGAGUUAUGGGGUCAUGGAAUCAUGGAAUCACUUAGGUCAGGAAAAGUCUCCAGGACCAUCAAGGUCAUGAUUUGAGAAUCAUGGAAUUAUGGGAUCAUGGGGUCAUGGAAUUCUGGAAUCAAAUUGUGGAAUUAUGGAGUGGCUGAGGUUGGGAAAGAGCUCCAAGAACAUCCAAGUUCAACCUCUGAAAAUCCUGGGAUUUUUGGAGUGAUGGGAUCAUGGAGUUAUGGAAUGACUCAGGUUGGGAAAGAUCUCCAAACCCAUCAAGUUCAAGGUUUGAGAAUCAUGGAAUUGUGGGAUCACAGAGCCAUGGAACUGUGGAAUGACUGAGGUUGAGAAAGAGCUCCAAGAACAUCAAGUUUGACCUCUGAAAAUCCUGGGAUUUUGGAGUUAUGGGGUCAUGGAAUUGUGGAAUGACUCAGGUUGGGAAAGAUCUCCAAGACCGUCAAAUUGAAGGUUUGAAAGUCAUGGAAUUCUGGGAUCAUGGAGUCAUGGAAUUGUGGAAUCAAAUAAUGGAAUUAUGGAGUUACUCAGGUUGGGAAAGGUCUCCAACGCCAUCAGGUUUGACAUCUGAAGAUCAUGGGAUCAUGGAGUUAUGGAAUGGCUGAGGUUGGGGGAAACCUCCAAGACCAUCAAGUUCAAGGUUUGAAAAUCAUGAAAUUAUGGGAUCAUGGAGUCAUGGAAUUGUGGAAUGACUCAAGUUGGGAAAGGUCUCCAAGAACAUUGAGUUUGAACUCUGAAAAUCCUGGGAGUUUGGAGUUAUGGGAUCAUGGAGUUAUGGAAUGAGUGAGAUUGGGAAAGAGCUCCAAGAAUAUCAAGUUCAAGGUUUGAGAAUAAUGGAAUUAUGGGUUCACAGAGCCAUGGAAUUGUGGAAUGGCUGAGAUUGGGAAAGAGCGCCAAGAAAACCAAGUUUGACCUCUGAAAAUACUGGGAUUUUGGAAUAAUGGGAUCUUGGAGUUAUGGAAUGGCUGAGGUUGGGAAAGAUCUCCAGGAACAUCAAGGUCAAAGUUGGAGAAUCAUGGAAUUAUGGGAUCAUGGAAUUGUGGAAUCAAAUAAUGGGAUUAUGGAAUUACUGAGGUUGGGAAAGGUCUCCAACACCAUUAGGUUUGACAUCUGAGGAUCAUGGGAUCAUGGAGUUAUGGAAUUAUGGAUCCAUGAGAUUAUGGGGUCAUGGAGUUGUGUGGUCGUGGAAUUGGGGAAUUAUGGAUUGGCUGAGGUUGGGGAAAACCUCCAAGACUAUCAAAUUCAAGCUCUGAAAUUACGGAAUGAUGGGAUCAUGGGAUCUGGGAUCAUAAUUCAUGGAAUUGUGGAAUGUGGGAUCAUGGAAUGUUGGGAUCCCAGAGUUCUGGAGCCAUGGAGAGACUCUUUGGCAGAGGAAGGCGAUGUCGGCGGGAACGAUGGAGCAGAAGGCCAAUUCCAAGCUUUCCAACGGAGCCUGCAGGUCGCUGGAGGGAGGGAAAAGGGAGAGGUGAGGAUAGGUUGGGAUUCACAGGGGAAAUGUGGGGAAAGAUCUCCAAGAACAUCAAGUUUGACCUCUGAAAAUCCUGGGAUUUGGGAACGAUUGGAUCAUGGAGUCAUGGAAUAGCUGAGGUUGGGGAAAACCUCCAAGACCAUCAAGUUCAAGGUUUAAAACUCAUGGAAUUAUGAGAUCACAGUGUUACAUGACUUUGCAAGGGUUCCUCAGGGUGAGAGAGAUAGACGAGAAGGCUGGAUUUAUUAUUUUAUGAUUAUUUAUUAUUUUAUGAUAUAUAAUACAUUAUGACUAUACUAAAAGGAAUACAGAGAAAAGUUCAGAAGCUACUAAGCUAAGAAUAGAAUAGAAGUAGGAAUGAAUAACAAAGUUCUGUGUCCAGGCAGAAAGCAAGGACAAACUCUCCCGUGAGUGGUCAGCAAAUCCAAACACUCACAGAAGACCAAUCACAGAUGCACCUGUUACAUUCCACAGCAGCAGAUAAUAAUUGUUUACAUUUUUCUUCUGAGGCCUCCGCUUCCCAGAAGAGGAAAACUCCUAAAAGAAAGGAUUUUUAUGAAAGAAUGUCCGUGACAUCUUACCUUUCCAAAUUAUAUAAAUUAAAAAGAAAAAUGCUGAUGUGGAAUGAACAGGAAAUUUCUUCACCUGUAUAACAUAUGAUAAUAACAAAUCACUAAAACAAUCUUACAAUCUAAGAAAAUGCAAAAAAACAACACAAAGAAAAUUCAAGUCCAAGCAGCUGAGUUUCAGGAACAGUCCAUGGGCUGAAAAUGUUCCUCUUGGACAUAUCUGAAAGUCCUUUUUGGUCCUGAAACAGGCUUUCUGCAAAAAGUCCCAUCAAUAGUUAUCAAAAACCAUUGACGGUCAUAAAACAAUUUCAAACAAUUUCAAACAAUUUGAACAAUUUGUGGAAUGUCCUUUUCUGGCCCUUCAAUGCUUCAGUGCUUCAGAGCUGCUGCCAGCUAUUUCAGUCUUUUUUUAUUUAAUGUUUAAUUUUUUUUUUUCCUAUCGAAAAGAGCAGCAGCAGCAAAGCAGCCAGAGCCAGAGAAAGAAAGGCCCUGGGGGCCCUGGCCCUUUAACGGACCAGGAACCCCAAAGCUGGCCCACAAAAGGCGGGCCAGGACCGGUAGGAGAAACCACAACUCCCAGAGACAUCAGGAGGCCACACAGUGGCCCUGGCCCAGAAACUUCCUGAGCCCAACAGCCCAGGCCAAACCCAUGAAGCAGGCUCUGCAUUCCCACAGGCCUGCACCCUACUGCCAGUACAAUGGCAGCACGGGUGGUGAGACGCUUCCUUUCCCCAAAACCACUGAGGCAUGCCAGCAGCAGGGAAAUAGAAGCCUUCCCCAGAAAUCCCGUCUUGGGUCUGGAGAUGUUUGUUCCUCACAGCAAACAAGCCAUGGUCUCUUCCAGCUGUGCCCUCUCCCUCUGCAAUGCAAAUGCAUCAGGUGUGUUUCCCAUCUGCCUCAUGGCACCACCCCCUCUGGGCUGGGGACCACAGGCAGAAUUCUCGGGACGCACCUGCCCCCUGCACCUGCGCCGCUAGGGCGCAAGAGAAACGGCAGAGAUGGCAACCUCUAAGGGACAGCAACUGACCAAAAACUCCCCAACCCGCUGAGAAUGCUCAUCUUGAAAGCAGGCAGGCGGGCUGCCCCCCGCCCCCCAGCUGUCGGGCCGCGCCGGUUCCAUGGAAGGAGUGGCUGAUGCCCUCUUCCCCUGUCCCAGCUCGCCCCACAGGGGCUGCAGGGGCAGCCCCGGGACAACCCGAAACACUCGGGGGGGAAAUCACGCUGGGUUUAGGAGCGGCUGCGGGCUGCUCUGAGGGUCCCGUGGGUUCAGCGCUGUCUUCAGCACCAUCCGGAACAGGGACUGUCUCGGCUUCAGGCGGCGGGGAGGCUGGUGGAAGCGGCGGGGGGGGCGAGGGGGCUGGAGAGGAUUCCUCCUCCGCUGAGCCGGAAGCUGCAGACGCGUCUUCGUUGCCUAGCAACAGUGGCUCAGCUGCAGGAAACGACACUGCUGUGUCCCUUGGCUCUGAAAGCGGCGGCAGGCAAGGCGCGGGGUCGGCGCCGUCUUCUGACUCUGCUGCUGACUCUGGGGUCAGCCAUGGAGAUGCAGUCGCCGGCGGAACGCACAUGGACAGCGGCGAAACAGCCGGGAGGGGUGGCGGUGAAACACCCGGGAGGGGCGGCGGUGGAGAAUCGCUGUUGCCUAGCAACAUCAGCGCAGGCAGGGAAACCAGCAGAGGGGGAGGCAGGAUCGCCCGGAGAGGUGGCCGUGCCAGCGGGGCAGGUUUUGGAGGUGUCCGCAGUGCUGGCAGGGGCGGGGGGGCCUCGGAGACCGGUACCACCCCCAUCUCUGAGCGGGGCGGGGUCCGAGAGGCUGGCUGUGGCAGCACCGCCCACUCCCAUCCCCCUGGAGAGAGAGAAGGAGGGGAAGAGGCCGCUCCAUCUGCGCACGCUCGGGAGAAAGAGUAAAAAAAACAACUUCUUCUCAUGGCGAAGUUUCACCGCCCCUCCGCCGGGGGGCAGGGGGGGCUGGGAAGCAGCAUCUCAUCCCCCUCCAAAGGGUCUUCUCCCACUGGGAAUGGAGGAAACGGAACUUGCCCUGUGCAAUUAGCAAUCCAGGAAAAAACAGCUGCUCUCCGCUUCAAAACUGGAAAGAGCUUUCUUAAAUGCUGGGUAGACGGGAGGGAAUCCGCACCCCUGACCCCAAACGAAUCGGAAAAAGGAGUCCAUGCACUCCCAUACGAAAACAUCCAAGGCAAAUAGCACAUCAGUAAAGAAUCCAAAAAGCUUUGCCCAUUGAAAGAACUCAUAGAGAUCUGUUUCUGACAGGAAAAGUCCGUCCUCUUCAUCCCAUUUUUGCCAGAGGGCAAUAAGCUUCUCCUCUGAAGGAGAGAAAUGAACCUCAUUGUCCAGAGGGGACAUUCCCCAUAUGAACAGCCACAAACUACGAAAGUCUGGUUCAUCAGGAAGGGAAAAGCCAACAGUACCUUUUGAAAGAGUCCAGCAAGCUCUGGCCAGCUCCACGGUUCUGCUGCUCUUUUCAAACAUCUUCCUGGAGGGGUUUCAGGUUCACUUAUGGUCAGCCUUGGCUGUGAACUCUGUCCAAAUCAGGAUCUUCAGUUCUUCAGCUCCUGGCUUGAAUCCACUUCUGUGGUCACUUCUAAAGCAAUCGUCAAAUGCUACACAUACAGGAUUUUAGCCAGUGCAGCAAUUUGCUCCUCUGGUCUUAUCAAAUUAAUAUUUGUCCUUACACGAGGGGUCCACCAAAUGUUACAUGGCUUUGCAAGGGUUCCUCAGGGUGAGAGAGAUAGAUGAGAAUCUUGGUCUCAUGAUCAGAAGGCUGGAUUUAUUAUUUUAUGAUAUAUAAUACAUCAUGACUAUACUAAAAGGAAUACAGAGAAAAGUUCAGAAGCUGCUAAGCUAAGAAUAGAAUAAGAAUCUAAAACCAAGUGCUCUCUGUGAAUCUGUCCCCGAGCUUGGUCCUGUGAUUGGCCGUUAAUUGUACACAUGGAACAUGAGCCAAUCACAGGUGCACCUAUUGCAUUCCACAUCAGCAGAUAAUUAUUCUUUACAUUCUCUUUCUGGGGCCUCAGCUUCCCAGAAGAGGAAAACUCCAAAAAGAAAAGAUUUUUAUGAAAGAAUGUCUGUGACAGUCUGUGACAGGGCUGAGACCAGAGCCCAGUGGAUUCUGUGUCUGCCAUCACCUGUUGGGACAAAAAGGGCACUGAUCUGUGCCUCGGUGUGGCUGAUCUCAAAGCCCAUCCUGUUGUGUCCUGAAUGGGAGCAACAGCUUGUCCGGGGCUCAGGCUGGCUCUGGCUUCUUCCCAUCAGUGCCUGUCAGUGCUCAUGCUUGGGCUUUGCCAGCCUUGUUGUGGUCGCUGCCCUGUCCCUGAGGCCUGGAGGGACUGCAGAGGCUGGAGCCUUCCUUAGCUGGGAGAGGGGCAUCUUUGAGCUCAGCCUGCUCAUAAACAGGUCAGGGUCCUGAUGCUGAAAGCCCCGUCAGGAUCAGUUACAGCUUGAGCUGCUCUGGUUUACAAAUGGGAAGGCAUUCUUUUGGCAAACUGCUGAAAGGUGGGGAAGAUGUCCUCCUCUCCUGGGAUUGCACAUCCCUGUGCUUUGUUUCCUGUCAAGAGAACUCUUCAAAAGACUGUACAAAUCAGUCUCUGUGCUGGCCACCUGUGCUGCAGGGCUGUCUGCCUGGUUGUGGUUGUUGUUACCCAGCUGACCACAAAGGGCUCAGAGCUCCAGGCACUGGGGCUACCUUUUGUAUCUCCUGGAAGCUGGGAUCUCUGCUUUAAAGUCAGCAUCUUGCAUUUUGUUUCCCUCAGGGAGAAUGGUGAACCCCACUGAAAAUCCCCUGAUGAAAUACACGCAUCUGAAAUAUAUUGGCAUUGGGACUUUUGGAGAUGUUUAUAGAGCACUGGACACUGCCACAGGAGGUGAGGUGGCAAUAAAAAAGUAAAUCUUCAAGGACUGCAGAGGAAGGAGCUAACCCUUAACGAAAUAAUGAUCAUGAAGAGGUAUAGGAGUCCCAAUGUUGUGAGUUAUUUAGACAGCUACCUUCUGAGCGAGGAACUCUUGC